RNA transcript from Vanessa atalanta (red admiral), 2237 nucleotides. It is a transcript of the gene named matrix metalloproteinase-14, with no coding region annotated. The transcript has 14 exons. NCBI's taxonomy places the organism in Eukaryota, Metazoa, Arthropoda, Insecta, Lepidoptera, Nymphalidae. The record is from RefSeq and is a predicted model, not a curated record.
CAGACAUCACCGACUGAGCAUAUCGAACAAAAAUACCAUUUUUAUAGCAAUCAUUUUAACAUUUACUGUUAAAAUAAUAUUUUAUAUAUAAGAAUGACAUAUCGCCUACAUAUUAUAUAGAAAAAGAAUACUUUUAUAAAUAAUUUUAAGAACAAAUGAGCUUAUCAAGUAUUAAUAGAGAAAGACUAUCGUCAAGAAGCAUGGCGUUCCUAAGUAUGAGAAGUAGUUUGAGGAUAUUAUGGGCUGCGGCGUCAGCGCUGGUCUUCCUGACGAGGAGUAGUGCGGCACCGGCUUUUGGAGAAACUAAUAAGGCAAUGAUGUAUUUGGCGCAAUAUGGUUACCUCAGUCCGUCUGUACGGAAUCCCUCCAGUGGUCAUAUCAUGGAUGAGAGUUCUUGGAGACGAGCUAUAUCGGAGUUCCAAAGCUUUGCUGGACUGAACAAUACUGGUGAACUCGACGAAGAAACGAAAAAGUUAAUGUCGUUGCCACGGUGUGGGGUGAAAGAUAAAGUCGGCUUUGGGGAAAGUCGUGCCAAGAGAUACGCGUUGCAAGGUUCGAGGUGGCGUGUAAAGAACCUGACAUACAAGAUCUCGAAAUAUCCAUCUCGUCUGAACCGCGCUGAAGUCGACACUGAACUCGCGAAAGCCUUCUCCGUAUGGUCCGACUACACAGACCUUACCUUUACACAGAAACGCUCCGGACAAGUUCAUAUUGAAAUCAGAUUCGAAAAAGGCGAGCACGGUGACGGCGACCCCUUCGACGGUCCCGGUGGUACCCUCGCCCACGCCUACUUCCCGGUCUAUGGUGGAGAUGCUCACUUUGACGACGCUGAAGUGUGGUCAAUUAAUUCCAGAAGGGGAACCAAUCUUUUCCAAGUAGCAGCUCACGAGUUCGGUCAUUCUCUUGGUCUGUCUCACAGUGACGUACGCUCAGCUUUAAUGGCACCCUUCUACCGUGGAUUUGACCCCUCUUUCCAGCUUGACCAGGAUGACAUACAAGGAAUACAGGCACUUUACGGCCACAAGACACAAAUCGAUAUUGGUGGUGGUGCUGCACCCAACCCAUCGAUUCCUCGAAUCACCACUCCACAGCCAUCCUCAGAAGACCCCGCUCUGUGCGCUGAUCCUAAUAUCGACACCAUAUUCAACUCUGCCGAUGGAUCUACAUUUAUUUUCAAAGGUGACUAUUACUGGCGGCUGACGGAGAGCGGCGUGGCGGCGGGAUACCCGCGCGCCAUCAGCCGCGCGUGGCCCGGCCUGCCCGGCAACAUCGACGCUGCGUUCACUUACAAGAACGGAAAAACCUACUUCUUCAAGGGAUCCAAGUACUGGAGGUACAAUGGUCAGAAGAUGGACGGGGAGUACCCAAAAGAUAUAAGCGAAGGUUUUACUGGUAUUCCUGAUAACUUGGAUGCAGCUCUUGUGUGGUCAGGCAAUGGCAAAAUUUACUUCUAUAAGGGUUCCAAGUUCUGGAGGUUCGACCCAGCUCAACGUCCUCCUGUCAAGUCAACCUACCCCAAGCCUUUAUCAAACUGGGAGGGUAUCCCUGAUAACAUAGAUGCAGCACUACAGUACACUAAUGGCUACACAUACUUCUUCAAGGGUGGAUCCUAUUGGCGAUUUAAUGACAGAACUUUCAGUGUGGACACAGACAACCCUUCGUUCCCGCGGUCCACCGCGUACUGGUGGCUCGGCUGCAGCAGCGCGCCGCGAGGGACCGUCGGAGGUAACGCGCGCCUCUCUGCACCUUCGCCUUCUGAGGAGGACGAUGUCGGCGACAUACAAUUCGACGCAGGUGUAAAAUCAUCCGCUCCCAGAUCAUUCUUCUGGUUCAGGAAAUAGCCUCGGUGGAGAGUUCCUGAACAUUUGUACAUAGACAAAUAAUAUAAAGAACAAAGACUAAAUUAGUAAAAUAGGGGAUUAUAUGAAUACCAGUGAGAUUAUAGAAAUAAGCGGUGAUUUUAAUACCGGCGAGUUUCUCACGCGAUGCCUUGAUCAGCGUUCAGUCAGGCGGAGCUAGACUGUAGUAAUGACUCGGGGCUCCGAUAUAUUAGGAGGGCACGAAACGUCCUCCGCCGCGUCAUCACUCACCCGCAUCGUAGAUUCGGGGGAGCCGACGGGUGGCAGCGGCGCGGCGCACUCGUGGCGCUCCUCGGGCGUGCUACUGGCGGCGGUGCUGACUCUGCUGAAUCUGAUCCACGCGCGCAUUUAGCGCCUCCACCGCGUCUCCACUGUGAU